Molecule: long non-coding RNA, 193 nt
Filed under: Chinchilla lanigera (long-tailed chinchilla)
Lineage: Eukaryota; Metazoa; Chordata; Mammalia; Rodentia; Chinchillidae
Description: lncRNA (ENSCLAG00000023545.1)
Source: RNAcentral
AAGGAAAUGUUUUGCUCUUCUAUUAGUGAACACCUGGAUGACAGACUUGAUGUCCAGGACUCUUGCUCCUGCCAAGCAGAUUUUCUCAUGUUUUAAACUUGAAGGGCUUCCGUGCUUUCUGUCAUGUGAUGGUGGCUUUCAUGGGUCAGCUGACCUGGUCCAUGGGACACCCCUUGAACUAAGGAUAAGUUAA